Molecule: small RNA, 85 nt
Filed under: Flavobacterium sp. A45
Lineage: Bacteria; Pseudomonadati; Bacteroidota; Flavobacteriia; Flavobacteriales; Flavobacteriaceae
Description: Flavo-1 RNA
Rfam family: Flavo-1 RNA
Source: Rfam by way of RNAcentral
CCCUAGCCCUGAUGGAAACGACAUCCUUUUGUGUCUCGUUUUUUUGGACGAGACACAAAAGAUAUAGUGAACAGCAGGAAUUAGC